This 465-nucleotide ribosomal RNA is filed under the name uncultured bacterium. Its description in RNAcentral is "partial 16S ribosomal RNA". It matches the Rfam family "Bacterial small subunit ribosomal RNA", at positions 338 to 795 of the family's 1533-position model. The record is from RNAcentral.
CCUACGGGAGGCAGCAGUAGGGAAUCUUCCACAAUGGGCGCGAGCCUGAUGGAGCAACACCGCGUGAGUGAAGAAGGGUUUCGGCGCGUAAAGCUCUGUUGUUGGAGAAGAAUGUGCGCGAGAGUAACUGUUCACGCAGUGACGGUAUCCAACCAGAAAGUCACGGCUCACUACGUGCCAGCCGCCGCGGUGAUAAGUAGGUGGCAAGGGUUAUACGGAUUUAUUGGGCGUAAAGCGAUCGCAGGCGGUUGCAUAGGUCUGAUGUGAAAGCCUUCGGCUUAACCCAAGAAGUGCAGCGGAAACCGGGCGACUUGAGUGCAGAAGAGGAUAGUGGAACUCCAGGUGUAGCGGUGGAAUGCGUAGAUAUAUGGCAGAACACCAGUGGCGAAGGCGGCUGUCUGGUCUGUAACUGACGCUGAGGCUCGAAAGCAUGGGUAGCGAACAGGAUUAGAUACCCCUGUAGUC